CCCAACAGACACAGAUUUUGAAUCUGGUAUAGAUUUGCAUGAGAGGGAAGCUGCUAUAAAUGUGAAGUGUCUUGCAGAGGACCCUGGGUCUUGUCAGCAUCGGAGCAUUGAUCCAGACAGGCAGAAGCCCAGCUCCACCUCUCCCCUAUCUAACUCAUCUGGCCAGUGAAGUUAAAGGGAGCAACUAGUUGGACCUUUCUGGUGCCAGACCUGAGACACCUGGGGUCUGACUGUCAGAGGGCUGGAGCCCACAACCCCAGCUGAAGUCAGUGGGAGCUGGGAGCACACCAUCAAGUGACACGAAAGCAGAAGCUGCUUUUGGAAAUGUUGCCCUAAGCACUUGUCUUUAACCUUUUUCUUGGAGGUCAGUGAUUCCCACCCCUGCCCUCAGAGAAUGGAACAUUCCAUCAGGUGGCACACUGCUGAGAAUUCCUGCGGGAGAGAAGCCAACGGUUUAUCAUGAAAACGCCAAGAGACCUUUAAGUGCAAUGUCAGCAUCCAAUGCAGUUCGUCAUUCAUUGGCUGGAAGCACUUGGCAUUUCUCUCCAAGAAUCUGGCUCUUUUUUUAAAGUCUGGCCCAUCAACUAGAUUGUGCUAAUUCUAAUAUUCCUUGAUUAUAAACCCAUUAACUUGCAGUGCCGUGUCUAGACAGGGUGAGCUGCCAUGGCCAGGCUCACCAGAGUUUGUCCCUGGAGAGCUCAGAAUGAGGCUGAACAUCUCACCCAAUUGCAGUUACCUGAAACAUUGUGCUUGUGUUUCAGCCAAGAGGACCCAACAAGAUCGCUGUAGGGUCUGAUACCCCACUGGGUCCCAAUUCCUGAAGUGACAAACAGCAGGGACCUGAACUCAGCCAGAGCUGCUGGGUAAGCACGAUGGACACACAGGUACCGCAGCCCGGGGCCCUGUCUGAGAGUGGGAGAUUCACAGGAUUCCUGCCGAGGAGGGUAAAAGCACAAGGACUGACACCCGAAAGGCUGCACUCAGAGACCAGCGAGCCACGUACCCGGGACAGAGGUGUUUUUAAUUUACUGGGGUCUAUGUUAGUGUAACAGAUAUAUUGUGCGCAGAUGAGGGUUAGGAAGAAAGGCAGGAAGUGAUACAUUAAUAGGGAAGACAAAGCAGGGGGAACAAGGGACAUAGAAGGGAGGGAGCUAGGAGGGACUGAGAUCCCAAUCCACUCCCACGGGAAUAUCUAGAAACCACCCCCAUUUAUCUCAGUGGGAGUCAGUGGGUUGCCAUCUCCGUAUGCCAGCCAUGCACUGCAUGCUCCAGGGCUGGCGGUGCCCAUGGGAAGGUUCCAUCCAACCCCCAAAUGCACAUGGAGAACGGCAACACAACGCCGUUGUGAUGGGUUGUAUUAACCCCACACUGGAUAACCAGGGGCUAACAGGAGCCCGAGCCCCUUUAGGCUGUGAGGUGGCACCUGGAGGGUGUUAUGCACCACUGGUGAUCAGACCCAGCUAGGGACUUCCCCUCUUGGGCCAAAGGCAAAGAGAGGCCUGGAGCCAGCACUGGAGGGCCCAGAGCCAGGAGGAGGCCUGGGAGACUGGGGGCAGUGAAGCCUGCGGCCAGAGGUGAGUUGCCUCAGGCCAGGAGGAAGCCAGAGACAGUGUUGGUAAAGCCUAGGGGGUGUUUGGACUGGAGUUUGAGGGGCUGCAGGGAGAGGGGGAAGACCUCGGCAGUCCCUCUCCUGGCAGUAAAGAGUGUCGAGACCUAAGGGGAACAGGAAGGCUCCUGCAGGGUAAAGAGGAAAUUGGUUUAAUUUUGUUCUUUUGGUUUAGGAUUGAGCUGGGGGAUUCCACGGGGGAGCCCUGCGAGCCUGGACCUGAAUGAAGGAUGAGCCAGGAGAGGCUGUGCGGACUGGAAAAAGGCUGUGAUAGGAGGAUAUCAAUGAAGACGGCAGUAAGGAGUCUGAUGGAACAGACCUUGGCUGCUGCUCAGAGGAUCCCUGGACUGGAACCCAGUUUAGGGGGAGGGUUUGGGUUUCCUACCAGCCACUGCAGAAGGUGCCUGAUUAGACAAACACCUGUCUGGGGUGGUCUCGGUGCUCUUGGUCCAGCCUCAACACAAGGCUGUACAAGAUGACCUCUCAUGUCCCUUCCAGCCCUACAGGUCUAUGGCUGCCUGCAUAGUCUUGAGCAGAAACACAAGAAAACAUAGUGUUUCACUGGCAAAGCUCAAGA
Long non-coding RNA from Gopherus evgoodei (Goodes thornscrub tortoise), 2183 nucleotides. RefSeq lists it as uncharacterized. The record is from RefSeq and is a predicted model, not a curated record. NCBI's taxonomy places the organism in Eukaryota, Metazoa, Chordata, Testudines, Testudinidae. The transcript is spliced from 3 exons.